RNAcentral lists this ribosomal RNA (111 nucleotides) under Acanthosepion pharaonis. The record is from RNAcentral. Lineage: Eukaryota; Metazoa; Mollusca; Cephalopoda; Sepiida; Sepiidae.
UUACGGCCAUAUCACGUUGAAACACCGGUUACCGUACGAUCAGUGAAGUUAAGCAAUGUCGCCUGUUCAUUACCUAGAUGGGUGACUCCUUGGGAAUACCAGGUGCUGCAA